CCACCAAGCAACUGUCUGGACAUGGGGACUUACGAGGAGCUAGGAUGAAAGGCCUCCUUGUUGCUUAGCCUUGGCAGGGCUCUUCUGGAAGCCAGGCUCUCUCCUAGUCUGAGAAGGCAAGCUUUUUGCUGGAUUACAAAGUCUUCUCUGGUCGUGGCCACGGUCUGUCUACCCCACUCAGCGCCCGCCCUGUGUCCACACAUGCUUGUCAGACUGGACUGAGGAAGCCCACAACUGGGCCUCUCAGUUUCCGGGUCCAAUCUAAGCUACCAGACCAGCUCUGCCAAACCAGAGGCCCAGAUGGGAUCUGCCACUCCAGCCACUGUGAGCAGCUUUGGUUUCAGCCCAAAUGCCAGGACUCGAGAAGUGUCGACAAGGUUGAGGGCUCUAACUUGGAUACACUUUCUUCCAGACAGAAGUUGCUUCUGCCUCUACUGGUCACCAGAGGGCGCCACUAACCAGGGACUGUGGCUUGGCUUCCUACCCUCUCUGCUGGUAAAGUGUUUUAACAGCUGUGCUGCUGCCCCUAAGGCAACCCCUCCUCUCCCAGAGGUUAGCAGCUCAUUUUUCUUGGAAUCUUCUCCUAAAGUUAGUGGGAGCAAGGAUAACUCAAAGGGUGUGUCCUCUGCACUGUUUUGCAGUGAGAGGUCAUCUCAGAUCACCUAGUCUGCAGUGAUGCUCAAAGCUGAAGGGGCUGAGCCUCACAACAUAGUACACACUCAAAGCUGGACUAAUGGAUGCCCAGUCGAGCAAAACAUAAUUUCCAGGUAGUCAUCGUGCUUCCUGUUUGUACUUUUGGAUUUUUGGUUUCUAUUGUUUGGCUUUAUUCACUCAAAUUUUUGGCUGCUUGCUUGAACUCAUCCUACUCUCAGAUUCAUAUGUCCCAGUGAAAGUGAUUCACAUUAGAGUCUCAGCCACUCUUUUUCUGAGUUACAGUAUUUACACUUCUGUUUUUCAUCACUGUUUUUACACUUCACUGAACCUCUUUUAACCUUCCCCUCAUUUUUGUGAGUUGGGGCUAUAAUGCCAUGCAGAGCUGAUAGUCCCACAGGCCCAGGGUAAACCUGCAACCAACCCUACCAGAUUCCCUCAUCUCUGGAAUUUGAGUCUUGAGCCAAGGGACAAAAAGAGUGUAACAGCUGGAGCUGCCACGCUAGGCCAACAGCAGGUUCUUUGGCUCCACUGCCACAUCAGGAGCUCUUCCCUGUCCUGUCCUCCCUGAGAGUUGGAGCUUCUAUGUUCUAUCUCAAAUCCCACCAGCACAUUUCUUUUCUGCAUGCUAGUCAGAGACAGUUUGUGUUGCUUCUGACCAAAAAAACCCUUACUGAUCCACGGGUCUUGUGCUUGG
Molecule: long non-coding RNA, 1348 nt
Filed under: Homo sapiens (human)
Lineage: Eukaryota; Metazoa; Chordata; Mammalia; Primates; Hominidae
Description: HSALNT0386402
Source: RNAcentral